Cyprinus carpio carpio is the source of this 903-nucleotide long non-coding RNA. The record is from Ensembl. NCBI's taxonomy places the organism in Eukaryota, Metazoa, Chordata, Actinopteri, Cypriniformes, Cyprinidae.
GUGGAAGAGAGGCGCGGGUGCACGAAACAGUCCGAGCGGGUUUAUUCGCUCAGUGUUUGUUAGCGUGAGUCCAUUGGGGCGAGAUGAUAUCGGUAGAGGACGGAGACUCAAGUAUGUGUUUGUCUGAGAGAAGUGUUGUUCAAGUCGAAUGUGACGGAAUCUUAGCCGAAUGCUAGCCAUAACUCCACUCUCCCUCGCUCUCUUUUACUCUGUGUGCUAAUCAGCAUUUGAAAGGCAGCUUUGACAGUGAGAAAGAAAAGUGAGGGCAGUGGGGAGGAGGGAGUGUAAACGAGAAAGAAACGAGAGAGAGAGAGGGAGAGAGGGAGAGAGAGAGAGAGAGGUAGGGGCCGUACAAGCAUUUCUUUUAUAUUUACUAGCGAUUGAGGAGAAAGAGAGAGGGAGCGGGUGAAGAGACGACCGGUGCGUGCAGCUUUCCCAAGAGGAAAUGAAAAGAAAAGAAGCUCAACGAGGAAAGAGAGACAGCCAAAGCGGGGAGCACGCCAGAGAAGGAAACAGACUUGCAUCCUCUAACUCCAGUCAUAUCUGAGACGAUCCCGCUUGGAAAGUGAGGGAGGAGAGAGAGGGAGAGUGCGGUCAUCGCCACUGUGCGCCCACAAACACACAUACACACACACUCUUGUGGCAGCGGACCGCUGUGUGUUCGCCUGCUCUUUUGUGCCGGCAGCUGGGAUUGUUCUUAGCCCUGUCUGACCCCCUUGUCACCCCCCGUGUGAGUGUGUGUGUGUGGGAGCGCGAGGGGACCAGGAACGUGGACUGAGCGGAGGGGAGGGUCACCGGUUCGGGUGUCCGGACGGAGGAGGAGAGAAAUAUCUGCCUCCAAAACAGCUGGACAUGCACAUCAGCUCUUCUGUUGGGGGUCUCGGACUGACAUAGCCUCGGCCA